UAAACUAAAUAUUUUACGCAUCGUUCUUAAAAUCGCAGAUCUAACUUCAUUCCUUAAAAAAACCUGAAUCCUCCAUAUCGUUCCAUCGCUCUCCACUCUCAAAUCUCAAUCUCGUUGAACCUCCAUUUCCUUCAUUUUGGGCCAACACUCUCAUAUUUCAACCUCAAUCUGCGCCGAACCCUAAAUCUCGUUCUAGCAAGAAAGGCCAAGAAUCAAUAUACAUGGAAAGGGCAAUUAAGAAGUCAGUCAUGAACUCCAUAGAUUAUUUUGAUUUCGACGAAUCCGCCGAUCUCACUGCUCUUUAUGAUAAGCACACUAAAUAGUUGAAAUCACUCCCUAAGCUUGAUUCCAGCAUA
Molecule: long non-coding RNA, 356 nt
Organism: Trifolium pratense (red clover)
Lineage: Eukaryota; Viridiplantae; Streptophyta; Magnoliopsida; Fabales; Fabaceae
Exons: 3
Source: RefSeq, a predicted model, not a curated record